GCUCUCCUGCUCGGGACACCUUCUGCUCGGGAAAGUAUGGCUUGCCAGAUGUUUGUGGCUGACUGGGCUGUGGUGCUACUAUUUUUUGGAUAACACUUUCUCCCAUACCCUUUAAGCAACAGCACAAAUCGCCUUCCCUGCCUGUGAGAAACACCCACUCCUACUGUCUAAACAAUGAUGGAGUCUAGAGACAGAUCACCCAGCUCUUUUAUUCUCCAAUCUACCUCUUCUGAUUGGGGUGAGAAAGGACUUAAGAUAAACCCAUUUUAGUCCUUGUUAGGUGCUGUGAAAAAAUAUCUGCACCACCUUUGUUCCCUUAGUCAGUCAGAGACUCAAAAAUGGAUUGAAUGAAAAAGGAAAUCUAAAAAAUAAAAUGUCGUUUUUGAUAUUUGUCCAUAACCACUUGCAAGAUAUGAUUCUCCUUGUCUGGAAAACAAGUUGGAAGCUCCCCACUGUAAGUGGGCCACAGUCGUCAGAGUGAUGCGAAUGCAUUUCUGUUACCAUAUACUUACCUUAGAGAAUGUGAGAAAGGAUCACACCUUUAUUCUUCAGGGAAGCAGCAGAAGUCCAUGAAGGAGCAUUGGCAUGGAUGGGAGGAGAGCCAGGAACCCAGGGUUUACAUUGGCGCUUGGAUAAGAUGUCUUUUUAAAAAAGUAUCUUGAGGUUGCAUUUUAUCCUUCAAUUAAAUAGAAACUGAAAAAUUAGAAGUUGGGCUCAGAGAAGAGCAUGACCCUUUGAGCCCACGGAAGCAACUUUGGAGAUUUCUACAGAGGUUAAUACAAGGGCUAAGAGAGCAGUGAGGUUAAAAACAUUUACAGUGAAUAUCCUGGCGCUUGUGUGAAAAAAAGGAAAUCAGCAAGGUUCAUGGACACUGACUGAGAAGACAGAAAGUAAAAAGUGCCAUAAAAGAGUCAGACGCAAGAUCUUCAAGUAGUUAAACAAACUCUUCCAGUGACAAUGGGAGACAGGUAGAAGGAAAGACAGGAUCGCUGACGACCUCAAUCCUGGUAUCAGAAGAAGGCUACUUCUCAGUAGUCAUUCACUUCUCUUUUCAAAAUGCCCUUCACAGACGCAUUUACAAGUGUUCACGAGGAAGUGCUCUGCAGGUUUUAUCUAAGCCAGGAGGCUAAUGGGCUGAGCUCCUUGCUCUGAAACUCUGAUUGCUGAUGGUACCCUGUUCCUGGUGGAAGAAGUAGGUGAGCUCAGACCUCAUCAGUCUACAGCCUUUCCUGACUUCCAACAGCCAUGAAAUUGGUUUUUCAAAAAGAUCUACAUUAUGAUAACGAUUGUACCUUCGCUGGGCAAAUAUCUUUACAAACUAGAUGACAAAAUAGAAAUAUGUUG
This 1344-nucleotide long non-coding RNA is filed under the name Equus caballus (horse). RNAcentral describes it as "lncRNA (ENSECAG00000052941.1)". Lineage: Eukaryota; Metazoa; Chordata; Mammalia; Perissodactyla; Equidae. The record is from RNAcentral.